Molecule: ribosomal RNA, 1115 nt
Filed under: Anopheles sinensis
Lineage: Eukaryota; Metazoa; Arthropoda; Insecta; Diptera; Culicidae
Description: eukaryotic LSU rRNA
Rfam family: Eukaryotic large subunit ribosomal RNA
Source: RNAcentral
GCCUCAAGUUAUGUGUGACAACCCCCUGAAUUUAAGCAUAUUAAUAAGGGGAGGAAAAGAAACCAACCGGGAUUCCCUGAGUAGCUGCGAGCGAAACGGGAGAAGCUCAGCACGUAGGGACGGCGGCCCGCCCGUCUAUCCGAUUCCGUGUACUGGUACGUCUCACUAUCCGUCUUCCUAGUGGUAUUCAAGUCCAACUUGAACGUGGCUUUGAACCCAUAGAGGGUGAUAGGCCCGUAGAACACCACCCAGCGGUUGAUGGACCGAGCGUACCAUGGAGUCGUGUUGCUUGAUAGUGCAGCACAAAGUGGGAGGUAAACUCCUUCUAAAGCUAAAUACGACCAUGAGACCGAUAGUAAACAAGUACCGUGUGGGAAAGUUGAAAAGCACUCUGAAUAGAGAGUCAAAUAGUACGUGAAACUGCCGAGGGUGUAAAGCCUGUUGAACUCGAUUAUCCGUAGUUCCUGGCAUCGUGGGUUUUGGCUGUCACGCAGAAGGGGGCCUUCUGUAUGCCUUGACCCUAGCCAGGAACGAGUGCGGACAUCGUGAUCCAUUACGCAAACCAAAUGCGAGCGGCGACUCCGGUUGCUGCGAGCAUAUCCAACAUCAGGUCCCAGAACAUGCGGUCGACCCUCUAGUAGUGGCGCUCAGCUUAAGGCCGGCGUCGCGAACGGGGGAUCGAGGCUCCGGUCUCGAGUUCGGCUAGUUCCGGUGUGCCGUUGGAUGCGUGAUGGGCAUUGAAGUGAACUAGAGAAGUGUGAAGCGCAUGUUUGGGCAUGUUCAAGGGCGAAAGCCUGAGCCGAGCACGACUCCGGAUCUACGAUGUACUAACUAAUCGAGGUACCUACGGGACCCGUCUUGAAACACGGACCAAGAAGUCUAUCUUGCGCGCAAGUCAAUGGGAGUAGCAAACCCAAAGGCGAAGAUAACACAACUGCAAAGUCGUUGCGGGAUUACGGGUGCACCACAGUCCGCGAGGACUGGCUAGCUGUGCCGCCCCUCCAUCCCCGGGUGUUUAGCAACGGAUCUGUAGUGCCGCGGACCCCCCGACAGGGGUGGGCAUUUGCAGAGCCAACGCGACAUACCGCGAGCGCGCAGGAUGUGACCCGAAAGAU